GCCAGGGUGGCGUAGUGGUUAGCGCAUCUGCCUAGUGAGCAGGAGACAUAGGUUCAAAUCCUGGCUUUGGUA
Molecule: non-coding RNA, 72 nt
Organism: Schistocerca piceifrons (Central American locust)
Lineage: Eukaryota; Metazoa; Arthropoda; Insecta; Orthoptera; Acrididae
Source: the annotation of a RefSeq genome assembly